This 499-nucleotide ribosomal RNA is filed under the name Escherichia coli. Its description in RNAcentral is "bacterial SSU rRNA". It matches the Rfam family "Bacterial small subunit ribosomal RNA", at positions 1 to 489 of the family's 1533-position model. The record is from RNAcentral. Lineage: Bacteria; Pseudomonadati; Pseudomonadota; Gammaproteobacteria; Enterobacterales; Enterobacteriaceae.
AAAUUGAAGAGUUUGAUCAUGGCUCAGAUUGAACGCUGGCGGCAGGCCUAACACAUGCAAGUCGAACGGUAACAGGAAACAGCUUGCUGUUUCGCUGACGAGUGGCGGACGGGUGAGUAAUGUCUGGGAAACUGCCUGAUGGAGGGGGAUAACUACUGGAAACGGUAGCUAAUACCGCAUAACGUCGCAAGACCAAAGAGGGGGACCUUAGGGCCUCUUGCCAUCGGAUGUGCCCAGAUGGGAUUAGCUAGUAGGUGGGGUAAAGGCUCACCUAGGCGACGAUCCCUAGCUGGUCUGAGAGGAUGACCAGCCACACUGGAACUGAGACACGGUCCAGACUCCUACGGGAGGCAGCAGUGGGGAAUAUUGCACAAUGGGCGCAAGCCUGAUGCAGCCAUGCCGCGUGUAUGAAGAAGGCCUUCGGGUUGUAAAGUACUUUCAGCGGGGAGGAAGGGAGUAAAGUUAAUACCUUUGCUCAUUGACGUUACCCGCAGAAGAA